AGAGUUUGAUCCUGGCUCAGGAUGAACGCUGGCGGCGUGCUUAACACAUGCAAGUCGAACGGAGUUUUUAAACAGAAGUUUUCGGAUGGAAGUUUAAAAACUUAGUGGCGGACGGGUGAGUAACGCGUGGGUAACCUGCCUCAUACAGGGGGGAUAACAGUUAGAAAUGACUGCUAAGACCGCAUAAUAUAGCGAAACCGCAUGAUUUUUGCUAUCAAAUAUUUAUAGGUAUGAGAUGGGCCCGCGUCUGAUUAGCUAGUUGGUGGGGUAAAAGCCUACCAAGGCGACGAUCAGUAGCCGGCUUGAGAGAGUGACCGGCCACAUUGGGACUGAGACACGGCCCAAACUCCUACGGGAGGCAGCAGUGGGGAAUAUUGGACAAUGGGGGAAACCCUGAUCCAGCGACGCCCGCGUGAGUGAAGAAGUUAUUUCGGUAUGUAAAGCUCUAUCAGCAGGGAAGAUAAUGACAGUACCUGACUAAGAACGCCCCGGCUAACUACGUGCCAGCAGCAGC
Molecule: ribosomal RNA, 514 nt
Filed under: uncultured bacterium
Lineage: Bacteria
Description: bacterial SSU rRNA
Rfam family: Bacterial small subunit ribosomal RNA
Source: RNAcentral